RNAcentral lists this ribosomal RNA (253 nucleotides) under uncultured bacterium. RNAcentral describes it as "partial 16S ribosomal RNA". It matches the Rfam family "Bacterial small subunit ribosomal RNA", at positions 524 to 776 of the family's 1533-position model. The record is from RNAcentral.
UACAGAGGGUGCGAGCGUUAAUCGGAUUUACUGGGCGUAAAGGGCGCGUAGGCGGUUAGAUAAGUGAGAUGUGAAAUCCCUGGGCUUAACCUAGGACCUGCAUCUCAUACUGUCGAGCUAGAGUAUUGUAGAGGGUAGUGGAAUUUCCGGUGUAGCGGUGAAAUGCGUAGAGAUCGGAAGGAACACCAGUGGCGAAGGCGGCUACCUGGACAAAUACUGACGCUGAUGCGCGAGAGCGUGGGGAGCAAACAGG